Molecule: ribosomal RNA, 239 nt
Filed under: uncultured bacterium
Lineage: Bacteria
Description: partial 16S ribosomal RNA
Rfam family: Bacterial small subunit ribosomal RNA
Source: RNAcentral
GAUCCUGGCUCAGGACGAACGCUGGCGGCGUGCUUAACACAUGCAAGUCGAACGGGACUGCUAUGACGGAGUUUUCGGACAACUGAUUAGUAUGUCUAGUGGCGGACGGGUGAGUAACGCGUGAGUAACCUGCCUUUCAGAGGGGGACAACAGUCGGAAACGACUGCUAAUACCGCAUAACGUAUUUGAACCGCAUGAUUUGAAUACCAAAGAUUUAUCGCUGAAAGAUGGACUCGCGU